ACAAUUCACCGAGAAUGAUGUGGAAACUAGCAGUUAUAGAAUAUUUGAUCACCGGGAAUGAUGGAGUAGUGAGAGCAGUCAAACUGCGUACAUCAAACGGACUGAUUACAACUAGACCAAUUGUGAAACUGGUGCCAUUGGAAAUAUGAACUGUAAUUGUUAAAAGUGUUUUUUUAAUACCCUUUUUAUGAACAAUACAUGGACAGUAAUUGCAUUUUUCGGCCCCCA
This 228-nucleotide long non-coding RNA is filed under the name Mytilus galloprovincialis (Mediterranean mussel). The record is from RNAcentral. Lineage: Eukaryota; Metazoa; Mollusca; Bivalvia; Mytilida; Mytilidae.